RNAcentral lists this ribosomal RNA (486 nucleotides) under uncultured bacterium. RNAcentral describes it as "bacterial SSU rRNA". It matches the Rfam family "Bacterial small subunit ribosomal RNA", at positions 19 to 518 of the family's 1533-position model. The record is from RNAcentral.
CUGGCUCAGAACGAACGCUGGUGGCGUGUCUUAUACAUGCAAGUCGAGCGAGGCAGCAAUGCCGAGCGGCGAACGGGUGAGUAACGCGUAAGCAAUCUGCCCCAUAUCAGGAAAUACCCGUGCCAACGCGCGGUUAAUGUCCAGGAGAGUGGCCCCCUGCAUGGAGGGUUGACUAGAGAUUUAUCGGUAUGGGAUGAGCUUGCGUCCGAUUAGCUAGUGGCGGGGCAACGGCCCACCAAGGCGACGAUCGGUAGCCGGCCUGAGAGGGUGAUCGGCCACAUUGGGACUGAGAUACGGCCCAGACUCCUACGGGAGGCAGCAGUAGGGAAUAUUGCACAAUGGGGGAAACCCUGAUGCAGCAACGCCACGUGUGGGAAGAAGCAUUUCGGUGUGUAAACCACUGUCAUGAGGGAAUAAGGCCCGCCUUCGGGCGGGAUUGAAUGUACCUUGAGAGGAAGCACCGGCAAACUUCGUGCCAGCCGCCGC